RNAcentral lists this ribosomal RNA (619 nucleotides) under Pholiota highlandensis. RNAcentral describes it as "eukaryotic LSU rRNA". The stretch from base 245 to 398 matches the Rfam family "5.8S ribosomal RNA". The record is from RNAcentral. Lineage: Eukaryota; Fungi; Basidiomycota; Agaricomycetes; Agaricales; Strophariaceae.
UCAUUAUUGAAUGAACUUGGCGUGGUUGUUGCUGGUCCUCUUGGGGGUAUGGGCACACCCGUCAUCUUUAUCUUUCCACCUGUGCCCUUUUUGUAGGUCCAAAAAAUUUUUCCGAGGCAACUCGUUUGGGGGACUGGCGUUCGUUACUGUCGUCUUUCCCUGGAUUUUAGGCCUAUGUUUUCACAUACACCAUAAGAAUGUAAUAGAAUGUUAUUAAUGGGCUUUAUGCCUAUAAACUAUAUACAACUUUCAGCAACGGAUCUCUUGGCUCUCGCAUCGAUGAAGAACGCAGCGAAAUGCGAUAAGUAAUGUGAAUUGCAGAAUUCAGUGAAUCAUCGAAUCUUUGAACGCACCUUGCGCUCCUUGGUAUUCCGAGGAGCAUGCCUGUUUGAGUGUCAUUAAAUUCUCAACCUUAUUAGCUUUUGCUGAUAAUGGCUUGGAUGUGGGGGUUUAUUUGCUGGCUUCUUUAUGAGAUCAGCUCCCCUUAAAUGCAUUAGCUGGUUGCCUUGUGCAGACUUGUCUAUUGGUGUGAUAAUUAUCUACGCCGUGGACGGUCUGCCAGUCUUUAGCACCGCUUCUAACUGUCUGUUUACUCAGACACUAUAUGACAAUUGACCUC